This 253-nucleotide ribosomal RNA is filed under the name uncultured bacterium. RNAcentral describes it as "partial 16S ribosomal RNA". It matches the Rfam family "Bacterial small subunit ribosomal RNA", at positions 524 to 776 of the family's 1533-position model. The record is from RNAcentral.
UACGUAGGGUCCGAGCGUUGUCCGGAUUCAUUGGGCGUAAAGAGCACGCAGGCGGUUUGGCAAGUCGGAUGUGAAAACCCGAAGCUCAACUUCGGGCCUGCAGCCGAAACUGCCCGACUAGAGGUAGGUAGGGGAGAUCGGAAUUCCUGGUGUAGCGGUGAAAUGCGCAGAUAUCAGGAGGAACACCGGUGGCGAAGGCGGAUCUCUGGGCCUUGCCUGACGCUCAGGUGCGAAAGCUAGGGGAGCGAACAGG